ACGAACGCUGGCGGCGUGCUUAACACAUGCAAGUCGAACGAGGGAAUUGAAAGCUUGCUUUUGAAACCCGAGUGGCAAACGGGUGAGUAACGCGUAGGCAACCUGCCGUUGAGAUGGGGACAACAUCCCGAAAGGGGUGCUAAUACCGAAUGUUGUGAGAGCUUCGCAUGGAGCUUUCACUAAAGAUGACCUCUCCUUGGAAGUUAUCGCUCAACGAUGGGCCUGCGUCUGAUUAGCUAGUUGGUGGGGCAACGGCCUACCAAGGCGACGAUCAGUAGCCGGUCUGAGAGGAUGAACGGCCACAUUGGAACUGAGACACGGUCCAGACUCCUACGGGAGGCAGCAGUGGGGAAUCUUCCGCAAUGGGCGAAAGCCUGACGGAGCAACGCCGCGUGAGUGAAGAAGGCCUUCGGGUCGUAAAGCUCUGUUGAAGGGGACGAAUGUACAGCUUAUCAACAACGAGCUGUAAUGACGGUACCUUUCGAGGAAGCCACGGCUAACUACGUG
RNAcentral lists this ribosomal RNA (507 nucleotides) under uncultured bacterium. RNAcentral's name for it is "bacterial SSU rRNA". It matches the Rfam family "Bacterial small subunit ribosomal RNA", at positions 29 to 507 of the family's 1533-position model. The record is from RNAcentral.